Molecule: transfer RNA, 55 nt
Filed under: Sphaerirostris lanceoides
Lineage: Eukaryota; Metazoa; Acanthocephala; Palaeacanthocephala; Polymorphida; Centrorhynchidae
Also listed under: 1 other name
Description: tRNA-Asn
Source: RNAcentral
UGCCAUUUGUCAAUUGGAGCGGAAGUGUAAAUUGUUAGUUUAUUAAAAGGGCUUC